Molecule: non-coding RNA, 29961 nt
Organism: Podarcis lilfordi (Lilford's wall lizard)
Lineage: Eukaryota; Metazoa; Chordata; Lepidosauria; Squamata; Lacertidae
Source: the annotation of a GenBank genome assembly
GCUCCCGGCGCAAUAGCAGCGCUGCCUAGGGGGGCUUUGAAGUGACAGUGAAACACCAAGAUUCAGUGUUGUCUCCCGAAGCAGACGGAGGGUUCCAGCACCAACUUUUGGAAGAAUAUUUAGCAGCUUUGCAGAGAGACUGGGUCUAACAAGGUUGUGUAUGGAUUGGACCCUGGCUGGGAGCUUCUGCCUGUGUAACUGCCCCUGGGACCUUUGAUGGCGGGAACUCUGCCCUUCUUGACAGGUGGCAGAGCUUGAAACGGGGGGUUGAUUUGGAAGGGAUGCUAACUCCUGAGAGAGAGAGAGAGUGAUCCCUGUUACAUCAUAUGUUAGACUUGGGGUGGGGAGGGAGGUGGUUUUCUUUCUUUGUACAGAUCAGCACAGUAUUAACUAUGGAUUACAAAUUUUAAAAAAGCGAAUGAGUUUGGAAGAACUGUAAGACUGUUUACAUUUAUCUUUUAUUUAGUUAGUUCUACUGUAUUUAUAUUGUAAAAGGUAAAGGUAAAGGGACCCCUGACAGUUAAGUCCAGUUGCGAACAACUCUGGGGUUGGGGCGCUCAUCUCACUUUACAGGCCGAGGGAGCCAUCCGCUUCCACAGACAGUUUUCUGGGUCAUGUGGCCAGCAUGACUAAGCUGCUUCUGGCGAACCAGAGCAGCGCACGGAAACGCCAUUUACCUUCCCACCGGAGCGGUACCUAUUUAUCUACUUGCACUUUGACGUGCUUUCGAACUGCUAGGUUGGCAGGAGCAGGGACCGAGCAACGGGAGCUCACCCCAUUGCAGGGAUUUGAACUGCCAACCUUUUGAUCGGCAAGCCCUAGGCUCAGUGGUUUAGACCACAGCGCCACCUGCGUCUCUUAUUUAUAUUGUAAAUAGACAUAAAAGAAUCAUAACAUCAAUAGAAUCAGCAGUUAAAGUAUACAUAUUUAAGAAACACACAUUGAAUGCAUUGAGGCUUGCAUUGCAGGGGGCUUGGACUAGAUGACACUCUGGGUCCCUCCCAGCCAAAAAGCAAAAGUGCACAGGCUUUGUGUAUUUGAAGAAAGAGCAAAGCUUGACGGCAGAACACCUGCUUUGCAUGCAGAAGGUCCCACGUUUGAUCACCGUAUUGAUCUCCUUUUUGUGUUGCUUUCACAUUUGCUGCAAACACUGCAGAACGCUGCAACUUCUUGUGCUCCUUGUUAGGAGUCAUUCUGCAAAGAAACUGAAAAGAUGAUUGUCACUUUAAGAACUGUUUCUGUGAGUUCUGGGUGUGGUUUUCUAGGCUGUUUAGGUACAGCUGGUGAUGAGUACAAAAGGAGAAGUUGCAGUUUGAAUUUCCCUUCAAAAGUGAAUACCCACAUGCUUUGUAAGGUUGUAAGGUUGUAAAUAAAACUCUUGCUUGAGUAUUUUACACCUGUCUCACAGUUCUGUCGUCUGCUGCCAGGAAGAUACAGUUCCACUACUCCUGUGCUCACAUGCACUAAAUAUCUAUGCUGGAGCCACCAUCCCAUUCGUAAGAUUCAUGAUCUAUAUCUUGCUUGAACUGCAAGGAGCUCAGAGGGGCAUCUAUACUUUCCCCCUGCCCGGUUAUCCUUCCAACGAGUCUGCGAAGGAGCGUCUGAGAGUAAGUGAGUGACCCAAGAUCUCUUGGUGACCACUAUGGCUGAGUGAGGAUUUGGUUUCUGGUCUCCCUGCUUGCUGCAGAACUGCAGCUCUUUGUGCAUUUCAGGGGGUUGGACUAGAUGACCCCCAGGACCCCUUCCAACUCCACGAUUCUAUGAUUCUACAUUCUGUGGGUCUUUAAAAGAUGGGCCAUCGCAUAAACUCUGGUGUCUUGAGCUUUUUAAUUAACCCCCUUUGAGGUUGCAAAUGUUUGUGUUAAUCUUUUAAAGUGCUAACACAAGGCUUUGAGCACGAGAGUGCUGCAGCAGACUCAGGAGCCAGUUAGGCUGAGAGGGAGUGUCUCGCCCAAGGUCACCCAGUGUGUCUCAUAGCUGAGUGGGAAAUUGAACCCUGCUCUCCCAGGUCCAGCACUCUAACCACUAGGCCACAUGGAUUCUCCUGGAAUCUUGGCAUGGUGACCAUGCGUUCCAUGUCACCAAGCAAUGGAGGCUCUGACUGUUUGAACUGAGGUUCUGGCAUCCUCAGCGUGGAGAGGUUGGCAGAGGUUUGCUGUAGUGACCCUUGCUUGUUUGAAUUAGAAUAUGGCGUUUGAAAGACUCCUGGAGGUGAGUGAAAGUUGGCAUUUCCAGGGGACUUAGCUGUAGGACAUAGAAUAAUGGUAUCACCAAGUUUGGCAAAGAGCUAUCAAAGGUCAAAUGAAACUUUUUGGGCAAGUUUUUAGAAGGGGAGAAUGAAUGCUGUAAAGGAAAAUUUAGUCUUUUAUGUUGUAGUUGGGUGAAUAUUAUUUUAAACAGACAUUCUUAAUGCUGUUGGGCAUUAAAGAAACAUGUGAAUCUGGGAAAGGGUUAAUUGAUAUUUCUACAUAAUAGAUAUUAACUUUGUACUCUUGUUUGAAAGGGAAAGGAAAAAACAGAAGAACAGGUAGCGCGGUCAGCUGGCCCAGCGGAGGCAUAGAAGGUGCUGGGUGGAUCUGGUCUUUUCACAGAGCUGAUUCAUGGAGCCUGCAUCUCACCUCACGGAGUCAGUCUGAGGGAAGGGUUGCUCUCGGGUGCAGGCAAGGCAGAGAGAGGAGGCCUAGCGGAGCUCUACUCAUGGAGGAAGGAGGGACGAGACUCAACGCCAGCAGCUCUGCUGAGACAGGCCAGCUCCAGCAGGCUUCUCCCUCAACGGUCAUCUGGCUGCAGCCAUUUCAACAGGCUGACUCCAUGGGAGAGAUAGGACCAGCACUCUAGACAUUGGGGGCCUGAGUUUGUGAGAUUUCUUUUCCUCUGCCCUCCUUGCUCCUCUUCCUUCUGUGUUGUGUUUCUGUUUGUUGGUUUGUUUAUUCGAAUGUAAGCCUGUGACUAGGGAGUGUCUUGUUUUUGAUUUUGUAUAAGCCAUUCUGGGAGCCUUUUUAGCUGAAACGAGGAGUACAAAUGCCUUGAAUGAAUGAAUGAAUGAACAAACAAAUGAACGAGUUUUUCCUGUGGGCAUCUCUGACCUUCAUCUCUUGUUUCAGGUCGCCUUGCUUCCUGCAGAGCAGCUCUUGGUGGCCAAGUGCUUCCUGGCCAGUGACCUUACUGUUGAGAGCAUCUUCAAACCCUUGGACAUCUCCCACUUGCUGCAAGAGUUCAGCAGCAAAGCAGUGGAGGUAAGGUGCUGCCAGGGUAGGAGUAAUAAUAAUAAUAAUAAUAAUAAUAAUAAUAAUAUUUCUACUCUGCCCAUCUGGCUGGGUUUCCCCAGCCACUCUGGGCGGCUUCCAGCAUAAGGUUGGAAGGGACCCCUGACCAUUAGGUCCAGUUGUGGCCGACUCUGGGGUUGCGGGGCUCAUCUCGCUUUAUUGGCCAAGGGAGCCGGCGUACAGCUUCUGGGUCAUGUGGCCAGCAUGACUAAGCCACAUCUGGCGAAACCAGAGCAGCGCAUGGAAACGCCGUUUACCUUCCCGCCGGAACGGUACCUAUUUAUCUACUUGCACUUUGACGUGCUUUCGAACUGCUAGGUUGGCAGGAGCAGGGACCGAGCAACGGGAGCUCACCCCAUCGCGGGGAUUUGAACCGCCAACCUUCUGAUCGGCAAGUCCUAGGCUCUGUGGUUUAACCCACAGCACCACCCGCAUCCCUUUAACAGAAGGUUAAAAAUACAUUAAAACAUCAGUCAUUAAAAGCUUCCCUAAACAGGGCUGCCUUCAGAUGUCUUUUGCCUUGAAGUAGGGGAGUCCACCUCAUGCCAUUGGGUGGCCAUGACACAUGUUUGCUGAGAGGGGCCUCACAAUGUCAGAACAAGAACCACAGCAAAGGGUCCUGAGACAGCCCCACUUCCUGGUACCAUCUGAGUGACCCUCUCCUUCAUCUCUGACAGGUGGAGGUGCUGCUGGAGGCCUUCCAUAAGAUCACUAAUCAUAUUAAUGCAUCUACCCAAUACCGAUUCAACUGUAUAAUUUUAUCAUGAUUUAUUGUAUACUGUGUAUACAAACAGUACACAAACAUGAUCUAAAUUACAAUACUUUCCUUGCCUUUGCCAAAGCAAAAUCACUGAUGAUAUCAUCAAAUGAUAAACUGCGUAGCUUGUCACUUUCUAUGCACCUGAGGCUGAGGUAGCAUAAUUUAUCUUGAGACAUAUAUAUAGAAAUGAGCAAACCAGUAAUAUUUUAGGGAGGAGGCUAGCAGGCGGGGGCCAUUGCUUACAUCAUAGCAGCCUACACAACACAAAACACUGUUGCUGUAUCUAGGCUUUAUUUUAUUUGUUUUUUAUCAUAUUUUGGAAAUGUACAUCCAGUUGCUUUUUUCCUUUAAUUUUUUUGGGGGGCCCCAAAAGAGUGGGGUCCUAAGCUAUAGCUUGUUUAGCUUAUAUGUAAAUGCAGCAUUGGUCAUGCUUGCCACAUGACCUGGAAAGCUGUGGACAAACGCCGGUUCUCUUGGCCCAAAGUGAGAUGAGCUCCACAUUCGCCUUUGACCAGACUUAACUGUCCAGGGGUCCUUUACCUUUUUACCUUUGAGAUGGACCAAUGGUCUCCCUUGGUAUAAGGCAACUUACUGUGUUUCUGUAUUGUGAAUAUUUGUGUGGCAAACAAAGAGUUAGAAAAUUCUCUUAUUUUACAGCCAGUUUGAUUUCCUUUAGUCUAUGCAUUUGACCUUUAAUCAGAUUCACUGUCUGUGCCUUAAUGGAAAAUCUAGGCAUCCUGAGCCUCUUUGAUUGCUGACAUUUAGAGCCAAGGAUUUGUUGUGUCUAGAGCUUGAUCAGACAGUUGAGAAGAGCUGCUUAGGUGGCAGCACUGAUUUUGAAGCCCUUGGGUUCAAUCUUCCAAAGAGGUAACCAUGCAAAAAUGAUAUAGGAAUAGUAUUAAAUAAAAUAAUGUGUCUUGGGUUUAUUGCCAAGCAUUUUCCUGUUUCAAUUUUUAGGCUUAAAACAGCCAUUUCAGUGGGAUAUACAUACUGCAUUUUUCUGUGUAUGAUACGCCCCCGUAUAUAAGACACCCCCUCUUUUUUGGGACUCCAAAUAGAGAAAAUUGGGGGAGAUUGCCCCCGUGUAUAAGACGACCCCCACUUUUUAGCAUUACUUAAUUUUAAAUAAAAAACCUAGUCUUAUACACCGAAAAAUACAGUAUAUAUAUAUAUUUAUUCAUUCAUUCAUUCAUUCCUGGCAAAUCUUCACCUUUUAAAAACCGUGAUUGGUGCCAUUGUUUCCUUUGGCUUCUUCUUCUUUUUCUUUGCUGAAUGGAUCAUCCUUGCCAAUCAGGCAUCACUUACUGAACUUUUUACAGAACAAAAAUUAUAAAAUGAAAUUUAUAUUUUUCGCAAGGAAAAACUGCAUUUUGGCAUUCUCUGGCAAUAGAGAUGCGCUUUGUAUUUGAAGAGCAUUGCCAGCCGAGCUGAACACACUUUCAAAUGGCACAUUUGUUCCUGGGAUAGCCAAAAACUUCUUUGCAAGCCCCUUCAACAUUGGGAAGGAUGCCUCAUGUGCUCCCCCCCCCACGUCAGGGGGCAUCCAUCAAUGUCCACUCCUGGCAUGGCCAUCUAGGAGAAAAUGGGCAGCAUAAGGAGGUGGGGGGAGACAGAAGAGGCUCAAAGGGCACAGCAGGGGGGGGGGUUCUCCCCUUUUACUCUGAAGCAACUUGCAAGCCAACAAACAUCUCAAGAGUGUAUUUCCCUCCUGCUUAUGGCUGGGGAGGGGAGAGCUGAAGGCUCACAGUAUAAUAAUAAUAAUAAUAAUAAUUAUAAUAAUUAUAAUACUAAUACUAAUUUUAUUAUUUGUACCCCGUUCAUCUGGCUGGGUCUCCCCAGCCACUCUGGGCGGCUUCCAACAAAGAUUAAAAAUACAUUAAAAUGUCACACAUAAAAAUAUUCCCAGGGCUGCCUUCAGAUGUCUUCUAAAUGUUAGGUAGUUAGGUAGAUCUCUUUGACAUCUGGUGGGAGGGCGUUAAACAGGGUGGGCGCCACCACUGUGAAGGCCCUCUGCCUGGUUCUCUGCAAUUUGGCUUCUCGCAAUGAGGGAACCGCCAGGGUGGAAACGCUCCUUCAGGUAUACAGGACUGAGGCCGUUUAGGGCUUUAAUGGUCAGCACCAACACUUUGAAUUGUGCUCGGAAAUGUAUUGGGAGCCAAUGUAGGUCUUUCAAGACUGGUGUUAUGUGGUCUCGGCGGCCGCUCACAGAGUUAACAUGGGGUUGGCAGCCUCCUGUGGGCUGCUUCUGCCCCAAAGAAAGGCACACACAACGAACACUGGGUGAUUCGCCCCUUUUAUUCUGAAGCAACUUGCAAGCCACAAUCACACACACACACACACACACACACACACACACACACAGAACGCAAUCAAAGCACUUCAGGGCAGACUGAGCUAAAGAAACAGGGGGAUAAAGAAAUGGAGCUAAAGAAGCCUCUCUUAACAGCUCUGCACCCCUCCAGGAAAGUUCCUUGCCCUGGUGACAUGGCUCCAAACGAAGCAUCACCUGGGGAGCAGAGGGGAGAGGGAGUCAGGGAGACACAAUCACACCCACACACAAGCAGUAUACAGUGGUACCUCGGGUUAAGUACUUAAUUUGUUCCAGAGGACCGUACUUAACCUGAAACUGUUCUUAACCUGAAGCACCACUUUAGCUAAUGGGGCCUCCCACUGCAGCCACACGAUUUCUGUUCUCAUCCUGAAGCAAAGUUCUUAACCCAAGGUACUAUUUCUGGGUUAGCGGAGUCUGUAACCUGAAGCGUAUGUAACCUGAGGUAUCACUGUAGUUUUAACAAGGGGCCAACUGCAGCUUACAGAAAAAAAUGUGGUGUCGGCUGGGUCGUUGAAAACCUGAGUGUUUUUUGUCGGCUGGUGGCUGCUUCUUCACAAAAACAAACACACCAGACACCCCACCAACGGGAGGGAAGAGGGAGACACACGUACACACUUGGGCGCCCACAAGCAGUACACACACGUCCCAGCCUGGCGCCUUUACGCAAGAGCCUGGAGGGAAGAAGUCCCUGCUUGCAGGCUGGAUGGCCGGGGAGACAGAGAGCUAACCGGUUCUCAAAGCUCUGCUGGGCGAUUUUUGAAUCGGUGAUUUGUAGCUAUUUCUUGCUGCAGGAGGUGGGGAAGAGCUAGCUGAGGUGGAGUUAGCAAGGGCUGAACGGAUAGGAAGAAGCAUCAGUUUUCUGGUUUUUCCAAAAUUGUGAUUUUUUAAUACCACACACAUGAGAUGCGAUAAAUUGCAAAGUCAUUUUGUAAAAAACGGUUAUCACGAUUUGAUCUAAAACCCGGUAUCAGACGAUAUAUCGAUUUAUAGCACAGCCCUACGGACAGUAUCCAUCUGCUUCUUUGGCAGACAAGCUACAUAUACGCAAAGAUCAAUCAGAGCCAUAACCUCUGAGGACAAAAAUGUGGCAUUUCCACCAAUUAGAGUGGUAUUCUUAAUCAGCUUCCUGUGCACGUGGGGUUUGGUAGUUUGCCUACUUCCAACUACAGCAUUUUGACCAUGAACACAGUAGAGAGCAGAUGCAUUAAAAAUGAAAUGAUUGCAGCAUGGCUUGCAUUUUCUAAAAGGGUAUAUGUUCCUGGCUGCCACUAGAAAUAUUUCUCUGCAACAGAAGGAUUGUGUCUUAUAACAUUUUCAGAUUUUAUUUUCCUGGCUGUCACAGCAAAUCCACUUCAGAAGAGGGUAUAAAUUGUUUACUUGUAUGUCUUUUUUAAUAAUAAUAAUAAUAAUGAAGGAAUAAUAAUGAAGGGAUGGGUUUCUGAGCAGGAAUAUCCUUUUAUGGUCAGGAGUGCAGGAAGGAAAUCCCUUUUAUGGUUAAGAGUGCCGGAGCAGGAACAUCUGUGAUGUCAACCUGCGUGUAUAGGCUGACGUGGUUGGAUUCCUGGGGAACGAGGGAGAGGGUUCCUGGAGGAUAUAUAUACUGCAUGAAAUGUCUCAUUUCUUUGGACUUGCUGUGGACUCACCACACAAGUGCCUUCUGCUAUCCGAAGAGCAGAAUAAACUCUUUCUUUGAACCAACCUCGGCGUCAUUUGACUUCCUUCCUCCCGUCCAGGAGCAACACAGACCCAAUCGGUGAACUCCAAUAAGGCUACAACAACAACAACAACAACAACAACAACAACAACAACAACAAUGUUUUUUAAAAGAUCUACCAAAAGGAAUUAGGCUGCCUACUUUAGUUUACUGACAUUUCUAACGAGAUUGCUGAGGUAUGUGUAUUUUGAUAAAUCUCUUGACUCCUACUUUUCUUCCAAGAUUGCUAAAAUUAAGAAAAGAACAGACCAGGCAAACAGCACACUAGGAGUUUAGACUCCAGCUCUGACUGAUGUCUUCCAUUUCACACUGAACAGACGGUGCAACAGGUUUUGCUUGACUGCAGCUGGGAAAAGAACAGAGUGCCCUGGCAAGUUUGUUCGCUAAAUCUAGCACACAUCAAGUUACUAAAAAUACUUCAGCAAAAGCAAAAAUUUGGGGGAAAACAACAACAAAAGGCAGUGAUAACCCUUAAACAUUAUGACAAAAAUUAAGCUGAACUGUAUGAAAUGUACUGUUGACAGAUUUUCUCUUUUUGAGAAGCAGCAGUGAAUGCAACAAGGGCAUUUUAAUAUGUUUGAUUAAUUUAUUCUAACUUUAAUAAUAAAAAUAUGGAAUUGAAACACUUUAAGCCUAAGGAAAUUUUACAGUCAGGAAAAUGUGCUUUGUUCUCAGGGUUGCAUCAGAGAGACCUGAUACUUUUCCAAUAUGCAUUAAGCAGAAGACCUUUCAGCCACUCUAAACAUUCAACAAUAGCAUUUGAUGCUCUUGGGAUGAAAUCUACUUGCCUAACUGCAAGGACAUACUUGGCAAUAUAAGUAAUCACUUCUAUUCAGCGACACUUGUGAAUAAUGAUGAACUCAAAAUUGGAUUUGGCCAGCUGAUAUUUCAAGGCCACAAGGGCAUUUGUUUAAAAAUACAUUAGUUUAGACUACAUGUGACAUCUUGAUUUGAGGUUGCUUGUAAGAAGCAGGAGCCAAAAAUGUUAGCAGUCGGUGCAGGGCACUGCUGGCCAGUCAAGGAAAGGGCGUUGAUGUUACUGCUCAGUGGAAACAGACAUUUAUUCUUGCUGGGCCACUUCCCCAGCUGGCUGCAACUGCAGACUUUUCUUUAUGCGACAGGAUAUUUGUAUACAGAAUAGACACCCGUGGCAGAGACCCAUUCAUCUGGCUGGGAAAGCUUGUCAGGACAGAAAUGCCUUCAGUUGUUUCUGGAAAGUGCAGAUAUUGAGUGUAGCUUGAGAGGAAUGCUAUUCCACAAGGCAAGCAGCCACGCUGUUACUGUGGAACAGGCUUCUGAGACCUUUGGCUCUUGCAGGAGGUGUUAUCCCACAGACCAGGGCCGUCUUAAGCAUAUCUGGUGCCGUGGUGCAAAGAUCCCUCCGGUGCCAUCCCGGCAACUCCAAAACAAGGGAGGGGGCAGUGGAAAAUGUCCUCUGCCUCCCCCACCGCCCCGAUCAAGCAGGAAAAUGUGCUGGCGGACCUGCUCUCUGGCGUUGGAGCGCCAGAGAAGGCAGCCUGGGAAGGCUGUGCACCACCUUUUGCCAGGAAGCAGGAGGACGACGACGGGGAGCAGAGCCGUCUUCAGCAGAUGCAGAGGAUUGGGAGGGAAGCUGCACGCCUGCCAGCCAUAUAGUUGACGGGGUGCAGCUGGCGGGCUUGCAGGGAAAGGGGAGGCUGCAGGCAAAGCUGUGCAGCUCCCCCACUUGCUGGGGCACCCCUGAGAGGCCGGCGCCCUGGCACAAUGAACCACUAAGACCAGUGGGAAAGACGGCUCUGCCGCAGACCACAGUGACCUGAGUAUAUCUGGUAACAUGGUCCUGAGCUGUGUCUUCUGUGUUAGUUCCAAGACCUUGAACUUGACCUGGUGGCAGAUCCGGUGCAGAUCCUGCACGCAAGGUGCUACAUGCUGGCAGCACUUUGCCCCCAGAAGGAGCCCAGCUAUUGCAUUCUGCAGCAGCUGCAGCCUCUGGACCACCCUCAAGGGUAGCCCCACAUAGCAUGCAUUGCAGUACUCCAACCAGGAGGUUACAAUGCAUGGAGAGGGUAGUCAGGUUAUCCCGAUCCAGAAACGGCUGUAGCUGUCUUCCCAAUAAAGGUUGGUAAAAGGCACUCCUAGCCCCUGUGCCCCCUGUGCCUCUGUUGGCAGAGCUGGACCUAGGAGCAACCCCAAACUCUGCAGGGAGAGUGCAGCUGUAUCCAGGGCUGGAAACUAACCGACUUGCCGGAAUCACUCAUCUUUGGAGCAUCCAUCUUGCCAGGAUUUAGACUGAGUUUAUUAGUUCUCAUCCAGCCCACCAUUUCGUUCAGGGCCUUCCCAGCCAUUCCUGAUUCACAUGUUACAGAGAAAUAAAGUUGAAUAACCGCAGCAUACUGAUGACCCCUUGCCUCCAGUAGUGGAGCUUCAUGCUCCGGCACCGGGGGGCGAAGAGCAGGCGAGGCCGGAGCCGAUGCAUGUCCCGGGGGUGUGGCGCUGUGUCUCGGGGGUGCGAUGCCCAGCACGGGGGGGGGGGGAGCUGCGAUGGCACCACACCGGGAUCACGCUGCCAGGGGUGGUGUGCUGCCCCUGCACCCCUCUUCCUCCACCAGUGCUUGCGUCAAAGCUAAUGCCCGCUCCCAGUGGCUACAUGUAGGUGUUAAAUCCUUGCACAGUUAGAACUCUGCAGUGCUAGGGAUGGAUGGACCUGUCCGUUUGGGUUCUCUCCGUUUCUCAUUUUUCCAAUCUUGAAUUCAGUUCUCUACAUUUCUGCAGCAAUUCUCUUAAACAAGAAAUCAGUGUCAGAAUUGGCCAGUAUGUAUUUUUGUGUGAAUUUCUUGUGGUGAACACAUUUUUGUAUGCAAUUUUGACUAAUGCAACACAUUUUUACAAGCGAUUUAUCCUAAUGGGAUGCAUUUUUGUAUGUUGUUUUCACUAAUAUAUUCACUAUUAUGCAUCCCUUGCCCCAAUAUCUGCAAAAAAAAAUUUUGGGGGGGGGCCUGCAUCACAAAAUUGAAGUGUGAAUUUUGAAACCUCCCUGUGUUUCAAUUAUCGUAUCAUUUCAGAUGCAAAUUUAAGAUGCAAACUGAACUGAACCGCCACCUCCCGUUCUCACACAAUGACACUGAAUGCCUGAAUAGGGCUAUAAUCUCCUUUUGCUCAGUGCCUUGACAGCUGAGAAUCCAAAGCCAAGCCUCUUCAGCGAUGCCUUCAUAAGAACUUCUUUGUUUCUAUGCACAUUUCUCUAUGGGGGAGAGUGUGACUGAGUUGUGUUGGGCCUGCUUGCCCAUAAAAUGUUACACCCAGCCCACCAUUCUGUGACACUUUUCUGUGUCAGAGGAAUAUGCAAUAAACUUUUCCUUAAAGAUCUGAGUUUUAGAAGUUAUUUUAAAACUACAGCUGAACUGUACAGAAAGUUAGUAAAGGUAAAGGGACCCCUGACCAUUAGGUCCAGUCGUGGCCGACUCUGGGGUUGUGGCGCUCAUCUCGCUUUAUUGGGCGAGGGAGUCGGUGUACAGCUUCUGGGUCAUGUGGCCAGCAUGACUAAGCCGCUUCUGGCAAAUCAGAACAGCGCACGGAAACGCCGUUUACCUUCCCGUCUGAGCGGUAUCUAUUGAUCUACUUGCACUUUGACGUGCUUUCAAACUGCUAGGUUGGCGGGAGCAGGGUCCAAGCAACCGGAGCUCACCCCAUCACAGGGAUUCGAACCGCUGACCUUCUGAUCAGCAAGUCCUAGGCUCUGUGGUUUAACCCACAGUGCCACCCGCGUCCCAUGUACAGAAAGUUAGUAUCUGGCUAAAUUGUGCCUGGGAAUGCACAUCUUUCUUUGGUCUGAAAAUGCAUGUUCAUGUUCAUUCUGUUGUAUAGUUCAAAGACAUAUAUAAUCUCAAUAAUCCUUAAAACAAUCAUCUAACAAAGCAUUGCCAACAUAUUGUAGCUGAGGUGGGGGUUUGAGGCUGAGAGAAGGUGGCUUACCUAGAGAAGACUGGGGAAACUGUGGACCCUCCAGAUGUUACAGAACUGCAAUAUCUGGAGGCAAAGAAGGGUUCUCCACUCCUGAGCUAAAGGGAUCACUGCUGAGGUGAGAUUUGAUCCAGGGAUUUUCCUGACACACGGUUCAAAUGCUAACUCUCCUCUCCUAAAUACCAUAUACUACAGUAAGUAGACCCAUUGCUUGGUCCCUGCUCCUGCCAACCUAGCAGUUCGAAAGCACGCCAAAGUGUAGAUAAAUAGGUACUGCUCCGUGGGAAAGUAAAAGGUGUUUUCGUGCGCUGCUCUGGUUUCAGUGUUCCAUUGCACCAGAAGCGGCUUAGUCAUGCUAGCCAAAGACCCGGGGAAACUGUCUGCAGACAAACGUCGGCUCCCUCAUCCAGUAAAGCGAGAUGAGUGCUGCAACCGCAGAGUUGUUUGCGACUGGACUUAACUGUCAGGUGUCCUUUACCUUUACCUUAUUGUAAUAAGUAAGUAGCAGCCGUGGUCCCAACAGUGGGGAAACAAGAAGAUGAUUUAUAGAUGUUUUUUAAACACCAAAUAAAUUAGCCAAAAUAAGUAAAACUAAGUAAAGUAUGCAUUGGAAGUGUAAACUGACAGAAGGAACAUUUUUUCAUAUGUGGAAGGGGAGGACAGGAAGUCAAUGGAUAAAGUAACUAAUGGUUUAUGUUCAAAUUUGUGGGGUACAGAGGAGAGGACAAAAUCACAAUGCCUCACUUGAAGGCACCAACAAACCUACUGAAGCUAAACAGAUUCUGAGUUGGGUCAGUGCCCGGGUGGAGGCUCUCAAGGACCCAUCUGCUCCAGGAAACACACAUGGAAUAGAAAUAGAUAACAUUGGUUUGAAAGCCGUGGCCCACUGAUUGCCCCAGUGGCGGAGAGCAGGUGGGGUGUGUGGCUGAUGUGUGUCCCAGGGGCGUGGCACACUGCCUGCAGGGGCAUAGCACGUGUCCCGGGGGCGUGAUGCCCAGCGUGGGCAGGGGGGCAGCUGCGAUGGCACCCCACUGGGAUUGCGCUGCCGGGGGUGGUGCACUCCCCCUGCACCCCUCUUCCUCCGCUAGUGGGCUGCCCAUCUCCAAAGCACCCUGAAGUUUAUCAGGGGUUGCAUGAGAUCUCACAUAAAACGCUAUGCCAUUCAAUCUGUCUAAGGGCAAAAUCUGCCAAAAGUCUUUUUUAAGCUGUGCAUCCCAUGAAGGAGGUUUGAGUGACAAUGGAUGUAAAGUGCUACAAGCAUCUUUGGGCAUAUCUUACAUAACAGACUUCACAUUCACUUGGGACCAUGGGAAUAGUAGUACCACAAAAUGAGCUCAAGAUAACUGAUUUCUCAGCACUCCCUCCAAAAUUAAGUUCCCAGUAUUCUUUGGAGGAAGGUAUCACAGUUAAACUCUUAUAGCACCAAUGUGAGGUUUACAAUGUAGAUAUAACUUUGUUGUUUUCAUCUACGAUGAUGUUAGUGCAAAAGGAAAUGGCAAUGCGGUCUAAAAGCUGACUUAUCAAUAUGCACCUUUUCUGGUCACUAGAUGGUACUGUAGAACAGUUUUGUUUUGCUCUGGAGCUCUAAAAGGUGCCUGACUCGGUGCUAAGCUCUUCUAAGCCUGCUUCUUUGUUCCCCGCUGUGCUCCUGUUAUCCAGACAUGCUGAGACUAAUAAAGGAACCAACUGGGAAAGCCGUUCACAGUGAGCACGCCUAAUCAACCAAGGGGAAGGCAAGGUGCUUAAAAGGGUGCGAGGCAGAGCUGGUGUCAAGAUGAAAAACAACGUGUGUAAUCCUUCCUGGAGUGGAGCCGCUGCUGCUGCCAGCCUAUCACAGUCACAUGUAAAGGAGAAUUCUUCACAAUCAUCAGGCUUUAAUCUGAGUUUAGACUGCAGCUUCCCUCAUCUCUGUCCAGUGGUCAUGCUGGAUGGGAAUGAUGGAAGCUCCAGCCCAAUAAACAUAUGCUAGAACAACUCGGUGCUCACCUGUGGUUUUGGACUACAGCUCCCAUCACCACCACCACCACCAUCAGGUUGUGCUGGCUGUUCAAAAGUGCUGGAGAUCACCAGGCUGACGAAGGCCAUGGGGUUCCCACCCCUGGUCUACUCUGAGAGGUCAAAAUGGGCCUUCCUUAGCUAUGCUACCAAAAAUCCUCUCCCCUCUUAAAAAAAGAAAAUACUUGGCUUUUAUAGGGCUUGAACCUGGGGUCUUCUGCAUGCAAAGCAUAUGUUCCAUCAGUCACUGUCCUUCCCAUUUCUUCCUGGUACCUGCCUCUGGUAAACCACUGUUCCUAUUUUGGAGAUGCUUUAAAAUCUUUUUGUUAUUGUGUGCAAAUGUGAAUUAGAGGUCACUUUCCCCAGCUUUCUGUUCUGCAGCCGUCCUGGUUAAAUGAUGGUAAAUUUACUAGAAUUUAAAGAUGUUUUAUAAUACCACAACCAGAUCCAUUGUGUUCUCUGAUAUUCUUCAGUUUUCAGAAAUGGGCUGUUAUGGCCAGUUUCCUAACAUAGCCGGCCUCUGAUUGCCAGAGCAGCACAGGCUAUUGCAGAGGGAGUAAGAGCAGCUGACAGCAGCAGAUGUCCUUGUGCAAAGUGUAAUAAAGCAGCAAUCCACGAGAAAGCUGUUUUAUAAAUACAAAGACACGCCUGUCUUCUCAGCUGUUGAGUGUUGCAGACCUUCUUCCCCAAAGUUGCAGAUUCCCAGCUCCCUCCCACAACAGCAUUAAUAUUCUAAUGUGCAAAGAACAUGUCUGAUGGAAGCACCCAACCAUCUAUUGCAACAGAGUCUGCUAAGUACCUUUCCCCAGUGUGAUUACAAUGGCUGGGACUGAGCCCAGUUCAUAGACAAAGUCUACAGCUGAAAAGCCAUUUCUGCCUGCUGAGGGUUCCAUGUGGUGCAGCCUUCCAGGGGGCUCCUUGCAUGGAGACAAAACUUGGGAACAGCCUAUGAUCCAGCCAGUACUACAUGCAAUUGAGGGACACCAUUCAGAUCCUUUAGCUGUGACUCCUGCAUUGCAGCGGGCUGGACUAGAGGAUUCAUGGGGUUCUCCCUAAGUUCCAGCUCUAGAUGGCAAACUAGCUUAUAUAUUUAAUGUGGGCAUGCAUUCAGUGUGUUUUGUUUCUGCUUGAAAAACAAGGAGGCAAUUAGGAGCGAUGCCUUAUGAGGAACGGCUAAGGGAGCUGGGCAUGUUUAGCCUGGAGAAGAGGAGGUUAAGGGGUGAUAUGAUAGCCAUGUUCAAAUAUAUCAAAGGAUGUCACAUAGAGGAGGGAGAAAGGUUGUUUUCUGCUGCUCCAGAGAAGCGGACACGGAGCAAUGGAUCCAAACUACAAGAAAGAAGAUUCCACCUAAACAUUAGGAAGAACUUCCUGACAGUAAGAGCUGUUCGACAGUGGAAUUUGCUGCCAAGGAGUGUGGUGGAGUCUCCUCCUUUGGAGGUCUUUAAGCAGAGGCUUGACAACCAUAUGUCAGGAGUGCUCUGAUGGUGUUUCCUGCUUGGCAGGGGGUUGGAUUCGAUGGCCCUUGUGGUCUCUUCCAACUCUAGGAUUCUAGGAUUCUAGGAUCAGAACCAUGGUGUGUAGUUGAAGGGUUAUCUCUGCCCACCAAAGGAAAGGUCCCUUGAAGCUGCUCUUUGCCCUCUUGCCACUGAUGUCCAUGGAAGCCUCUUUUUCAAAGGGAGCAACACUCCAGGAACGAGGAGGAGAUUUUAACUGGGACCGUGGCUGGGGAAGAGGAUGCACACCACAGUUCAGAUCCUAGUUGCUUUUAUUUUCCAGGGGAAAAAAAGAAAUGCAUAUUCACAUGUCAUCUAGUUUGACCCUGAGGAUUACCAUACACUACUGCUGCAAUACAGAGAUAUGAAAAUGUGGAAGUAUUUUUUGGCAGCUGCCAUGUUACUAUGGCAACACAUGAGUUGGUCUUUAGUGGGAAGGCCUAUAGGGGAAGAGAGCACAACUUCUAAGCUGGCUUGAUACUUAAUUUAGAAAGUAAGUAUUUCUGCCAGCCUGCUGAUGUCCCACCUGCAAGUGUUGGAUUUAACCCCCUAGAGAGAAUCGUUGCAUCAUGGACCUUGUUGUGUAAGUUUUGUACUAGUGUAACUGUAUUGGCUUCAGUUCUAGAUCUCCCUGCAGUCCCACUUUAUAGACAAGUACAUUCAAGUCCUUUUUUUUUAUGUUGAAGCUAAGAUAAGAAAGGUUUGAAACUAGUACUAAAUAUGUUUAAUAGGGCAGAUUCUUUAUUUGUUAUAUUUUCCUCCACCCUUCUUAAUGUCACAACAAUCCUAAGAGAUAGGAUGUUAAACUGAGGGGCAGUGAGUUUUCCAAAGCCACUUCUUAUCUUCAAAGGCAAAUCUUGUUUGUAUGGUCACAUCAGUCUUUACCAAAGUGAAUGUUUCAAAUGGAGUUGACAUCCCUUAAAUACUCCAGGAGUCUGGGUUAUCUUGAGUGAUAAUAGUUCCCUGAAUAUUUGCUCACCUAAUAUUUGCUGCCUUCACCGGCUGUUUUAUUUGGAUUUCACUUGCUGGUCUUACUGUUUUAUCUGGUUUCUUUGGGUGGUAGUCAAUUAUGUUUUACUCAGAGUUCGACCCAUUAAAAUUAAUGAACACACCUAACUUAGGUCUACUCUGAAUAAAACAGUUAAACACCACCUUUUUAUAUUGUUCUCUGCUUUUUAGACUACAGUCCUAAAUAAAUUUACUGGGGACACAAUGCGGUUGGAUUUCUGAGUAAACAUGCCUAGGACUGCUCCUCAAGUGCAGUUUCUGUAUUCUGUGUUUUCAAGUUUACAUUUUGUCAUGGUGGGGCCUGCCAAGAUGCAAAAGGCAGCAUAUAAAUGCUGUAACCUAAAUAUUUCAGGCUGCAGGCAUCUUCCAUAACUCAGUUCUUUGCAGGAAACUCUGAUGUAAUAGUGAUGUAACACUAAAGUGUAGAGACCCCCGUGGUCCUCCAGACAUGUUUGGAUGAGGUUUCUGGUAAAAUGUGAGGGGGAAGACUGUAAAAAAAAAAAAAAAGGAGGGGAAGAAAUCUGUCACUUUUUGUGUGUGCUAUAGGGUAGACCCUUUAUUCUUCUGGGGAGGCUGCCAAGGCAAGGCUAUAUAGUUGCAAUGUUAUAAAAGAAGUGACAUGACUUGGUGAUGGAAUGAACAUUUUUAUUUAUUUAUUUUUUAAAUUUCUAUACCACUUUAUAUUUUUAAUAAAAACCUCAAAGCAGUUUACAGCAUAUUACAUCAAUAAAUCAAUAAAACAAUAGCCGGGUGAUGUUCCUCCUAUGGAAAGCAAAGGAGAGAGAGGAGUAAAAGAUUAUGCCAACUCUUUAUUCUUUCAAUGUUUCAUUCAUUCGGUGGGAUGGACCUUGUCAAUGGAUAUUAUUGAGAAGGAACAAUGUAUGGUAUCGGGCAUAUUGAGUUUGAAAUGUCAAUGGAAUAUUUAAGCAGGCUAUCAGGCUGGCAAUGGGAGUUGUGGAAUCAGGGGAAAGAAAAAGUCCUGGAGUAGAAAUGAAGGGAUAAUAAUAAUAAUAAUAAUAAUAAUAAUAAUAAAUUUUAUUUAUAUCCCGCCCUCCCCAGCCGAAGCUAACAACAAUAAAACAGUACAAAAUUACAGCACAAACAACACUCUAAAAUCAUUCAUUAUAAAAUUAAUUAAUACAUCAUGAGCAGACAGAUGGUAUUAGAAAGCCUUGGGAUUUGGUGAGGUCACUUAUUGACAGUAUGGGACAAAGUAGAAGUCCCCAUAGAUCCAUAGUGGAUCCCUAUGGAGAGAGGGAAAGAGGAGGACCUCUGAGAUCUUGGCCAUUCACAAUAUUUGCUUGGGAUUCUUGGUGCUCACAGGCAAAUGUUAACAUUCACUAGAUUUGGGAAUUUUGUGCAGCAUGGAUAUAUAUUUGUGUAUGGUUUUCAUGUUCAGUCAGCUGAAAAAAAAUGUUUGUUUUGACCUUCUGCUAUGUGCAUUAAAUGCUAAUUGAUAAUUCUCGAAAUGACUCUCAUACCCAGUCCACCAUAUUGAGCACCUCCACAUCUUUAAAUAAUGUUGUUGGUCCUCUCUGAAUUCCCCCCGCCCUGCCAACAUGACUUAUUCAGCCUUCGACAUCUGGUUGCCUCAUCUUUAUUCCAUCUCGCAAUGACUACUCGCUCAUAUUCUCAGGAACAAAUAGGCAUCAGAUUGAUGUCUUGAGACUCCCUUUAUAAUGGAGAGAUAAAUGGACCUCCUAAAUUACAUUUUUGUAUUGUCCAAUGAGAAAAGCAAGAAUUAACAGAUAAUGCAGGCUUGAGGGAUUUGCUGAGUACAGCUUUUCUUAUCCUCUUAUUUAUAUGCAUGCACAAUUCUAGAUGGUGCUCUUGAGAGCUGUGGAAUUGCUUAUGGCUGGGAGAGCAGACCGACAGGCUGAAGGGCAAGUAGGAUUUGCACAUACAAUGUGAAAUCUUCAGCAGGAGAGACAUUAAAAUUUCCCUCAUGAAUUGUUCCCACCUGUCAAGCACCUGAGAAAUACAAGUGAUAAAUUGCAGGGGUUGGUGGAGCAACAGUGGAGAUAAAUGGAAUGUAUUUACAGCAAUAAAAUCACCCCAUUGCCCCCAAAUACUUUUUACUGGUGAUGAGGAAGGUAAUGCUUUAUUUGGUCCAGUGUUGUGACUGAAAAUUAUAUGAUGAUUUCCCCGCUUUAAUUUAUUUACCAUCAUUAUGUUCAUUAACAACGUUUAGUGGGUGUCAUGGACUGGUUGGACACAGGCGAAUGGUGGGAGGAACCAGAGAGGCAACCACCAAUCAAAGAAGGCUUAGAGCCCGGGGAGUGGUGCUGGCAGUGCCGGAUUUAUGUAUAGGCUAAGUAGGCUGAAGCCUAGGGCCUCUAGGGGGCCUCCCCAGCUCCCCAGCCCUAAACAGCGGGCAAUCUCCCCUGUCCCAAAAUUGCAAACCCAAGACUUCAUGCGAGGGCAGGGCAACUCAGACCCAGCAACUGUGAGACUCAGGGCCAGCCAGUGGGGCCCAAUUUGAAACUCUAGGGCCCAACUUGGUUUUUUUUUGUUUUUGUGGGGCCCUAGUUCACAGCCAAAAUCUGCAGAAUCUUAGAGAUAUAAAUCCGUGUGCUAGGUCAUUUUCACAAGGUCAGCAAAGCCCUUCAGAAAUCAGACCUGUUAUUGAGUUCUUGUGCAAGUUUGUAAACAAAUUUUGAUGAAGUUUUCUGAUGUCCUUUAGAGGAGAAAUUGUGAAUUGCAGAAUUUUAAAUACCCAUCUCCAUUCAAUUUUGUUGAUAACACUCUUCCAUUUUCUUCUAGUCGUGAGGGUGGGGGGUUGGGAGGGGCCUCACAAGUGGAGUAGCCUAGGGCCUCUCUUCAUCUAAAUCUGGCCCUGGUGCUGGGACACUAAGAAGCGGAGGUGUUGGAAGCUGAAGGGGGAACAGGGCUUAGUGAGUGUUUUUGCUAAUACAGUCAUACCUCAUGUUACGUUUGCUUCAUGUUACGUUUUUUCAGGUUGUGUCCCGCGGCGACCAGGAAGUACCGGAAAGGGUUACUUCCGGGUUUCGCCACUCGCGCAUGCACAGAAGCGCCAAAUCGUGCUGCACCCCUACACUGAUAUGACGUUUCAGGUUGUGGGCUUUUCAUGUUGCGAACGGGCCUCCGGAACAGAUCCCGUUCGCAACCAGAGGUACCACUGUAAAGAGUUAACUCCAACUUGCACAGUGUGAUUUACUGCUGACUCGCUCCCAACAGUGGGUGGCAAGUAGAGAUUGCCCAAGAGAUAGAGGAGUUUUCGGCAGAGUCGGUAACCAAACCCUUAUGAAUUCCCCAACUUGAUGAAAUGGUGAAAUGCAGGUGAAUUCAUGAACUAGGCUACAAUGAAAUCGCAUUGAUAGGGAGAUAGCUGUCAGGGUUGGCACAGCGGUAUGGUGAUGUGCAUCAAACUCGCAGGGAUGGAUAAGGGAGCGGGGAAGUCCAGGUGAGUCCUCCCCUCUUGGAGAGGAGCAAUGAUUCAGUGCGGGCCAAUGAAGUUGCAGAUCUGCCGGCUCGACUUUUGGCAGUGGCAGAAUACAAAGAGGAAGGAGAAUGAAAGUGCUCCUUCUUCAUAUCAGAGGCUUUCUCCAGCUGCAGGGAGGUCAGGUGUUGCACCACCAUAUUGUCCACUCCUGGAAGAUAGGAACAGGCUCGCCAUUCGGUUUGCUAAUGUUCCACAUGGCUGUUAAAAAAUACUGCAAAACUGAUGUUAGCUUGGUGCAGAAUUGUGUGUGUGUGGUCAUCCGUAGAGAGCCCAUGCAAUUAAUUUCCCCUGGAAAUCAUAGACCAAAAUAAAGCUUGUUUGCCUUUCAUGAUUCAGGGGGAUUGUCAAUCACAUUGUUGGCAUCUACUCAGUUUGCAGUCCAGGGAAAUUGCACCAGUAUCAAAAGGCAAGUUUCUGCCAUACUUUGUAGCAUUUCAGCAAGGGUUAUCCUUGGCACGUUCUCAGAAGAUGCCAGUUCAUGUGAAAUCAAACUUACAGUGGUCAUUAGGGCCUCAGUAUUUCUUUCAGCUUCUGUUCAAUUGGCCUGAAUAACUAGUUGGAAGGAACCAUACUAGCCAAAAGAAAAGCCACCAAACAGUGAUGACCCCCAGGGCUGCAUGCCUGUCUAGGGGAUCGCAGGAAGUGAUGUAUUUGUUUAAAUAUUUAUAGGCCAACUGUUCAUCUGCACGGGUACCAGGGUGGCAAAAAGAACAUAAAUUAUGAAAUGCAUAAUAAAAAAAGAAACACAUCAUUCAGAAGUAACAGAUACAGCUAAAAACAAGAGAGCAGGUUGAACAACAACCAACUUAAAUUGCCUGGAUAGAUAGAUAGAUAGAUAGAUAGAUAGAUAGAUAGAUAGAUAGAUGAUAACAGCAUUGGCACCAGUGAUACUUGUGGGGAAAGGGCGUUCCACAAUAGGGGACACCGCAGAGAAGGCUCUAUCCCCCCUCACUGCCGCGUGAGUUUUCUGUAACAUUGGAACAGGGAGAAAAGCCUUCUCAUAUAAUAUCUGGUGCACUACAGUAACGUUGAGGCUGAGGUACAAAGCAGCCAGACCCUGGAGUGUGGCCUCUUCCACAAAUUUGUGUUAGGCAAACCCUCCAACUGAAGUAUCAGGGCAAUACUGUCCUACCUUACAAUUAUUUAAUGUGUAUGCAUGAAGAUUUAUUUAUUUAUUGUCUCCUUUAAAACUUAAUUUAUUUCAUCUAGGGUUUUAAAUAUCCCCAUGAGCAAAUUUAGGCAUAGAUAAUGAAACGCCUUUCAAUUGCUCCUACAUUUGGAUUGUCAGAAGUGUGUGAUUUAAUAAGUAAAUAAAUAAAUAUGUGUAAUGAGAUGGAAACUCUUUGACAAUGCUUUCUGCCACCUUGGCAUGAUUUUCUAUUGGAGGGAUUAAUAUAUUCUUUUGUUUUAAUGAUAAUAACAAUUUAUGUGGCUUAUUGCCAAAGUCUAAAGCCUUUGUUUCAAUAAAUUAUAAGAUUUAGCUGUCUUGUUUGAUCUCUUAAUCGCUAGCUGUUGUCCAGUCAGCUUCUCUUGUGGUCUUUGAGCCAAGGCGUCUUCCAGCUUCGGCUUCUUUCUUAUUCGAAGAAUCAGUUGCUCCUCUUGCCUUAUUCUUUAUUUUUCCCCAGCACAGUUUAUUUCUUCAAAAACUCUUCCAAUAACUAUUCUUAGCAUCCUGUGUGGUAACCAGUUUACAACUGGAAUCUUUGAAUUAUUUAUCGUUCUUCACUUUGUAAUAUACUUUGUUGAGUUUCCAUUGUUUUAAAUGUAAGACAUAAGUGAAAUGGGAGCAUAGUGUACAAAAGUUGUAAAUUGUUUCAUCCUACUGUUUGAUUUUCUUGAUAUUAAACUAGAAAUCUAUAAUUAAAUAUGAUUUUCAAGGAGAGGAGUUUAUAGACUUUAAUCUUGGUUUGUUUUUGUUUUUUUUAAAAAACAUCCUGCAUAAGUUAAAAUAUUUUUAGAUCUCUUCUUCUCUGAAAAUGGAAAAUAUGAACAUUAGGAUCAUGCGGUCACACGGGUGUUCCUUUCACCCCCCCCAUGACCUGUACUUUCAGGGAUGACUCCAGGAUUUGGGGAACUUUGGGGAAGAUGCCCUUUCUGGACCCCCUUAGCCUAGAAGGGUGGGGAGAUGAACAUCAAGGACUCUCUCGCAUUGCCUCUGUCCUUCGUAAGUGCUUUCUUCCAAGUCACAGUGCUGCUGCUGCUCUGCUUUUGCAGGGGCCCAGUGCAUGUAGAUGUGGCGUACUCCAGUGGCAGGUGGUUCCAUGUUCACCAGAAAGGGGAUAGUGGCAUGGACUGGUUGUUUUUUUAAAAAAAAAAUUAUUCAAAGUUAUAACAAAACAUAUUUUCCAAAAACAUAUCCUUAUUUCCCCCCAUUUUUCCUCCCCCUCCCCCACAAAACCCAUCCCCCACCCCACCCCCCGACUUCCCUCAGUUCCAGUCUUUGGUUUCUCCAAUAAUGCUAUUUUCUGCAUGUUACAGAGUUGUAUAGAUCCUCCAACUGUUUAGCUAAUUAUUAUCUGUAAAAAGAAUUGUGGAUGUUUAUUCAAAACCUGCCAGGGAGUCCAGUUCGCUUUGUUGCGUCUUCAAAUACUUUGUGAAAGGUUCCCAUUCAUCCUUAAAGUCACAGUUAUUCUUGUCCCGUAGCUUAUGUGUCAAUUUUGCCAGUUCUGCAUAAUUCAUCAAUUUUUCUUGCCAUGAUUCUUUAGUUGGGAUUUCUUCAGUCUUCCAUCCUUGUGCUACCAGAACUCUCGCAGCCGUUGUCACAUACAUGAAGAUGUUUUUCAACUUUUUUGGCAGGUCUUUCCCUACAAUCCCCAACAAAAAUGCCUCGGGUUUUUAAACAAAUGUUAAAUGGAACAUUUUCUUCAGUUCGUUGUAUAUCAUUUCCCAAAUUUUUAAAAUUACUUUACAAUCCCACCACAUAUGAUAAAAUGUUCCCUCCUUUUCCUUACACUUCCAACAUAUAUUUGAACUAGUUUUGUACAUUUUCCCUAACUGCACUGGUGUUGUGUACCAUCUGUACAUCAUCUUCAUGUAGUUCUCCUUCAAUAGGGAACAAUCUGUAAAUUUUAAGUCAGUUUUCCAUAAUUUAACCCAAUCCUCCAUCAUAAUGUUGUGACCUACAUCUUGUGCCCAUUUAAUCAACUGAUUUUACCUCUUCAUCUUUCGUCUCCCAUUCUAAUAGUUUCCCAUUCAGUAGUUUCACUUUCCCUUCAAUCACUUCCGUUUGAAACCUAGAUCUAGUAUAACUAAAUCCUUUCUUACAGUCUUCUUUAUAUGUUUCAUGUAAUUGUCGAUAAUGCAACCAACUCUGAACGUGUCUUUGAUCUCAUCAUAAUCUCUUAAUUUCCAUUUUCCAUCAUGGUCUUUUAAUAAAUCAGCAUAUGUGAGCCAUUUUCCUUUCUUUCCAAGUGGUUUGAGCAGUAAUGCUUCAUGUGGUGAAAGCCACCACGGAGUCUUUUGUUCCAAUAAGUCUUUAUAUCUCUCCCAUACUCUCAUUAAUGAUUUCCUGAUUAUAUGGUUGUAAAAGCUUCUAUGAAUCUUCCCUUUCCCGUACCAUAAAUAUGCAUGCCAUCCAAAUCUGUUGUCAUGUCCUUCUAGUUCUAAUGCCUCUUGCUUGUCCAAUCUCAUCCAGUCCCUGAUCCAUACCAAACAAGCAGAUUCGUAAUACAAUUUAAGGUCUGGGAGGGCAAACCCGCCUCUUUCUUUUACAUCUGUAAGUAUUUUAUGUCUUAUCCUUGGCCUUGGACUUGGACUUGGACUGGUUGGAUGCAGAGGAAUGGUGGGAAGAACUAGUUGGGGAACCAGGGAAGAAGGCUCAGAGCCCGUGGAGUGCUGGUGGGACAACAAUGUGUGGUCAGAGGUAAAAGCCUGGGAAGCCGUGCUCAUUAGACCUGACACUCAGUCAAUGAAGCCAAUGAAGCUAAUAACGAGUUAACUCCCACUUGAAUGGUGUGAUUCACUGCCAGUUUACUCUUUGACAGGGAGGGUAGGGGCAGACACAAUGUCAGGAAACCUUUAGGUUGGCUGCAGCAUUCUGCAGGUGUGCACAUAGCUGUCCACCUGAAGCUCUCCUGAUCUCACCACGGCCAUCCUGGGGAACGCAGCACCACUUGCUCAAGGGGGCACUGAUGCUGUUCCUCCCCCUCUCAUGUGCAUCUGUGGGAAUGCACAACCUCACCUCACUGUCCCUAGCCCUUUAUUUUGCCUCCUCCAUUCCCCAGCCACUGGGGGAUAUUCGGGUCAAUGGCGCUCUUCACAAUGCAGUGAGAUAGGAAGUGCAUGCAAGGGCACAUACUUUUUCAUUGCAGUGAAAGAGAGAGAUUCUAUAUCUCAUUGUAUCUUUCGUCUCUGGGACGGCAGUUCUUUAAUCUGACAAUCCCGCUGUCUUCGCCAGCUUGUUAUAAUGAGAUCAGACAUAACUGGCUUUUCAAUCUUGUUUGAAACAUAAAAGAAGUUGAAAAGACUUCUCUUAUUGCUCUGGCUGGAAUUGUCACUGCUCUAAGCUCUUCUGCUGCUUCUAAUCUCAUCUAAAAAUCAGCUGAUCUUUAAAUUGGCAAUGGCUGUCUCUUUUCCGUCUUUCCUUUUAACCCAGGGUUGUUUUCCAUGGCAAACCUUUCCAUCUGUUUUGUGAAGAUUAUAUAGAGCUUUUGUCUUCCAGUGACAUCACAGAAAAGCUUUCUGUGUUCAGAUAAAACCUUUAUUUGUCGCCAAAGCAAAAGCCUUUAUUCUAACACCAUUAGGAGGUUUUGCUUAUAUCUUCCCAAGUCGGUUGCUGGAUUCACAUGUUCAUUUUUUAACAUGGCAUAUGUCACUCCACUGUGUUUUUAACUCAUCGGUUUUCAUGCAGUGAACAUGUAUGGAUGUUCCCUCAUAUCUUCACAAAUAUAUCUACCAAAGGUUACUAGUCCACAAAUUGCUUUUACUAGACUGCUUACUGGCCUGCUUACUCAUAUUAAUAUGUCAGUGACAGGCCUCCUUAGAGGGAGCAAGUAAUCUGAUGGUACAAAGGUCCAGAGAAGGAUGGGAUCCUGGUGCUCUCUCUUUCUCUCCCUUCCCCUCCAACCAGCCAAUACUUGGAUAGAUGGAAUAGUGGACCCUCUCUGAUACACAUUGGAUUUGGAAGGUAACUGCAUUCUAAUUCCCACAUGAGCCUCCCCUCUGUGAAUUAGCUUAGAUGAAUUAGAUUGGAACAAUCACUUACACUUUCUGGAGUUUAUUCAUGCAGGAACUAUUUACACAAUGUGUGGAGAUGAGAGAGAGAGAAACAGCAGAUGUCUUGUCUCAACGAGUUGGGAGAUAACAGGAAAAAAAUGGCUCAGCUUUUAGGGGUGGAUUUAACUUAGACAGAGAGCUACAAACAAAUGCUGGCUAGAUACCUACACAAAUAGUGCCUUCUAGUGGUUUAAAGUAACACAUGUAGGAAUUACAAACAAAUAAAUGUAUUUGCUUUUCUCCAAUGAAACCUUGCUGCCAGCAUAUUUAACAGAGGCGGGGUGUGUGUGUGUGUGUGUGUGUGCGCACGCAUGUGCGCUCCACACAGUGGCUUGCUAUAAAUCACUGUUUGAAGGCCCUCCCCCACCCUGUUCAACAGCUUUCCUGGGCCUGCCUGCCAUUCCUCAUGCUGCAGUUGGUGUGGCUGCCCAUUGCCGGCCAAGCCUACUGCAGAGUGUAAUGACACCUUACAUUUUUAUGUAUAUAGGAAUAUAUAUACAGACAGUGACCAUUUUGCACGGGGGUUCUGUUCUUGGUUCCUGCAUGCACGCUAGUGGAGCACUCAAAAGCCUGCCCUGUGCUGUUAUGCCCCGUUCUACCCCUCAUUAUUCCCCACCCCUGUUCCACCCCCAUUCUGCCCUCUUCUGGGUCCAAGUGGAUCAUCAGUUGCACAUCAAUUGGGCAUGCGCAAAAUGGUUGCUGGCAUUAUAUAUAUGCCCAUGAAACAUCCUAAAGCAAUUUAACCCAUCAACAAUACAUAUAGUGGAUAGUGUAUUAAUAGAAAGAACCUAGGAGUUGGUUUAUGUUACAUUGCAAUGUUAUGUCACUCUUAGGGCUUGAGUCAGGUGCAGAUCAGCAACAAAAAACAAUAAAUCACCCGAGGACAGUGAAGUUAAAUCUUUAUUCCAGGAAACAACCACAGCUCAGACCUGGUGGUCUCAGAAACUAUUCUUAGGAGGUCUUGUCCUGAUGGCACAGUUUUGAAGACUGAAGGUCCUUGCCUUCCCAUCCCUGUCUAAGGUUCCUCCUCGCCUGGGUUUUCCCUACGCAGUCUCAAACUGUGUCUGUGCAUGACUAAUCUCUGUUCUGUUCUUUUCAUUUCUCUGUGUGUUCUUGGAGGCCACGGGGGGGGGGGAGGGAAGCUGGUCGCAGCAGGAGGGAGAGACUCCCUGGACUCUUCAGCAGCCUGUUUCGCACUCUGCCUCUUGACCCUUCUCUGCUUCAGCCUCAGAGUCUGAACUGCACUCUGCCAAAGACUCUUCCUGCUCACUGUUGCCUCUCCAGCUUCUGACAGCUCCUCCUCACAGUCUGCUCCCUCUUCUCCCUCUGACCACUCAUCCUCCUCCUCCUCCCUCCAAUCCCCUGGCUCUCAGCCUUCUUCCCCUAGGGGGUUCCCUGGCUGGUACAUCCCACCACUCUCUGCAUCCAGCCAGUGUUUGGCAGUUACAUAAUAGUUACAUGCUCCAUGAAUAUAAAAUUAUAAUAACAGUACCUGAUAAACUUACAACGUAAUGAGGUUUAGGGUAGGGUUGCCAAGUUGUUGAACUACACUUCUAACAUGGGAUUUUCUCAGACACUUCAGCGAUUUCCACCCGGACGCUGUUUGUGAGGGCCAAAUACUGGCUAUGUCCAGCAAAUGCACGAUUGACACUUUCUUUCCUACACCCUUGUAAGAGUAUUACCAUCUCCACAAUUGUUUUGCAGUGAGGGCUCCAGUUUUGUGGAGGAAGCUUUACUAUAUUAAAUUUUGUCUCAUGGUGACUCUUGCAGCAGGAGACUCAAUGACACUGGCAUUCUAUUUCCAUUAAAUUAUUAAAUUCCAGUUACUUCUGUUAAUAGGAUAAUAUGCAGAUCAAGUUACAAAGGAGAUUUACCCAGAUACUUGUAAAACGUGAGUGCUGGUUCCUCAGCUUUGCGGCUUUAUAAUCCUUUGGCUUUUCCAAGUGUAAUGAGGGGAUAAACUAUUCAUUAGAGUUUUGUGGCAUCUGCCUCUUGGGGAUUUUAGCUCUCUGUCACCAGGCUGAGGCUGCAGUGUAAUGACUUGGGUCACUUACAUUUUCUUGUAUAGUGGCUCAAGGUCAAGUGGAGUAAAACAUGGAAGACUGGGCUGUCAUGGGAGACGAAUAGCUUGGAAAAUAGUUUUCAUGGACUGAUUCCUAGGGCCACCUGACUGAUUUGGAACAUGGUUCAUUCACGUGCGUCAUUCUAUGUCAAAUGUGGGUAUUUGAAAUGUGUAUAUUUUAUAUGUUGCAUUAAUGUGCCCUCUGAUAUAUUCUCAUCUGACCAUGUAGGCUGGGAUCUGGAUGUAGAGCAGAGACCUAUGUCUGGAGACUUGUGUCACAUAUGAACAGCUGAGAAUUACCAGGGGACGGCACUUUUCAAAGUGGAUGGGGAAGCUGUAGAGAGGGGUCUUCCCAGCCACAGAUUUCCCUCAAAACCCAGGGUUCCAGUUCCAUUGUUGCUCUCUAGGUGAAAUAACAUGCCCAAGGAACACACAGAGAGAAAUCACAAACUAAACAACUCUAUAUGUGAUUUACAAAAAUUCAUUAACAAUAAUGUCUGACAUUUCAACACCUUGUGGAAAAAGGCAGCUAGGUUAUUUGUGGGGCAUAAGAAUUCCUUCAUAUUUCCCCCCCCCCCCAAAAAAAAAUAUAGUCUGGCCCACCACAUGGUCUGAGGGAUGGUGGACCGGCCCACGGCUGAAAAAGGUUGCUGACCCCUGAUCUGGAACAAGCAGAAAGAGAAGAAGUGACAAUAAUUAUACAUUUCUUCCUCCGUCAAAGCAAGUGGUCUUCACCCCACCCCCUCCUGCUACUUGAAAUCUCUUAGCCUCUUCUGGGGAUAUGUUGCACUUUAUAUUAAGAUGGUAAUUUUGUAAAUCAGGUAGUGAUUUCUUUCUUUCUUUCUUUCUUUCUUUCUUUCUUUCUUUCUUUCUGGACCAUUGGCAUUUGAGUUUUCCUAGCAAAAUAAUGCACCACUUCCCAACUGCGGCCAGCCUCUCAUGGCUUCCAAGGCUGCUGUUUUCUCUUUAGAGCCACAUUCCUUGGCUUGACAGCAUCUGUAAUAGUGCUUUCCCCUUCUUCCUGCCUUCUAUUUUUUGAUCCUGGGGCACAAGGUCCUCUCACCUGGGUGACCUGCUGUCGCUGCAUCCAGUUCACUGGCAUGUCAUGCUCAUAAUUCAUUUGCUACUGUAAAAUGACUCUGCCUUGAAGGGUUGCUUUCAAAGCCAAUCAGAUUUUCUUGGCCAUAUGCAAAGCUUUCCGCCUUUAAUACCACAUUGGGGUCCUUUGCACAUGUCAAUCAUAACUGGUGUAGCCACAACCCAACAAAACAAAAACAAAACUCCACACAAGGAAAAUAUAUUCCAUUCAGCUCUGAGGAAGGUAUCAUCUUCUUACUUCUUUGGUGAUCACUUGUAGCCAAGUAAGAUUGUCUUCCAUGAACAUGGUCUUAACAAUGACCAUAGAGGCCAAUUCUGGAACCACAAGCUGGAUCAUGUAGAAGUGGGAGCAGUCCCACACUUUUUGCAAUUCCUCCCAGUGAUGCAUCCCCAUUGAGACCCUUUCGGUAAAUUAUUCUUUUCUCAUAUACCCCAGCAAUCAAAGAUUGGGGGUGGAGGUGGUAUAACACUGGGGACAGAAAUAUGGCCCUGCUCAUGCCUGCACAUGAGAGUAGCAUAUAAAUGCAUGAAUAGGACCCAGGGCCAACACGUCCCUGAGGCAGGCUGUGGGGUUGGCAAACCCCAAGAGGCAGUGCCCAAGGAAGUGCCCUGCGCACAUUGCUGCCCCUGCAGCUGGUGGAGAAGUGGCAGCAGUGGGAGCUGCUGACAAGAUCUGGAAAGAGUCCAUGGAGAUCUCACAAGAUCUUGCUGGAACCUGCCAUUGCUGUGACUGCUUCACCGGUGCUGCCAGGCGACCCAGACAAGGAAGGCGUUGGCGUUGGCAUGGCAACCACGGGGCAGCAUCUUCUUGUUUCACCUCAGGUGGCAAAAUGGGCUGCCCCGCCCCGAUAGGACCUUUGUUUUCUUUGGAUUAGAAAGCCCAAACUCCCAGGUUUGCCAUCAGCUGAACAAGGAGAAAUAUUGUAUUCCAAAGCAAAAGGGAACCCUGUGACUCUCAGUAGCCCUAUCUUAUUGUGCAGUCUUCAAGCACCUGUGAGUUCUUCCUGCUCUUAAUGACAGGCCAGUGUUGCCAGUUAAGGUGGCCAGCUGCAAGAGAGGACACACAGGGCUUUGGCACUUUUAAUGGUGGUGUAGGAGAGGGGAUUUCAACACCUGUUGCUUGCUGCUGAAAACAAACCUCUAUUAUAACUGUUAAAGAGGCUGUCAAGAGACCUCCCCUCCGUUGCAGCUGGCUCCUGUACCCAUCGUCCUUCAGCUGUAAACAGCUUGCAGAAAUAAGCUUGGCAAGCAGAUUCACCUGGAAGCAAAAUGGAAUAAUGGUUAUUAUCAUUUCAAGGUUUGUUUGAGGCAUGGGCUCAAAAGCGGCAGGAGUGGGGGUUUGAGGAGUACACAUGAUGAAAUUCCAUGUGUUCCCCACCCCUCAAUUUUAUUUUUUAUUUCCUUGUUUUAUUUUGGUGGGUAUUUGAUGGUGUUAAUUGCAGAAGCCACAAUAGCUUUGUGGUUUUAAAUUGUUUUUAGUAUUAUGUUUUAUUAGGACCUUAGGGUGAAGGGCUGGCAAUCAAUCAAUCAAUCAAUCAAUCAAUCAAUGAUAUGCAGUUACCAAUAUUUUUGACCCAUUUCUCUUCCCCAGAUGCUGAAUCAAGCUGGAUUUCAGCC